CUAUCGUUAACUGAAUACAUAGGUUAACGAGGCGAACCGGGGGAACUGAAACAUCUAAGUACCCCGAGGAAAAGAAAUCAACCGAGAUUCCCCCAGUAGCGGCGAGCGAACGGGGAGCAGCCCAGAGUCUGAAUCAGCUUGUGUGUUAGUGGAACGGUCUGGAAAGUCCGACGGUACAGGGUGAUAGUCCCGUACACCAAAAUGCACAGGUUGUGAACUCGAAGAGUAGGGCGGGACACGUGGUAUCCUGUCUGAAUAUGGGGGGACCAUCCUCCAAGGCUAAAUACUCCUGACUGACCGAUAGUGAACCAGUACCGUGAGGGAAAGGCGAAAAGAACCCCGGCGAGGGGAGUGAAAAAGAACCUGAAACCGUGUACGUACAAGCAGUGGGAGCACCUUCGGGUGUGACUGCGUACCUUUUGUAUAAUGGGUCAGCGACUUAUAUUCUGUAGCAAGGUUAACCGUAUAGGGGAGCCGCAGGGAAACCGAGUCUUAACUGGGCGUUAAGUUGCAGGGUAUAGACCCGAAACCCGGUGAUCUAGCCAUGGGCAGGUUGAAGGUUGGGUAACACUAACUGGAGGACCGAACCGACUAAUGUUGAAAAAUUAGCGGAUGACUUGUGGCUGGGGGUGAAAGGCCAAUCAAACCGGGAGAUAGCUGGUUCUCCCCGAAAGCUAUUUAGGUAGCGCCUCGUGAACUCAUCUUCGGGGGUAGAGCACUGUUUCGGCUAGGGGGUCAUCCCGACUUACCAACCCGAUGCAAACUACGAAUACCGAAGAAUGUUAUCACGGGAGACACACGGCGGGUGCUAACGUCCGUCGUGAAGAGGGAAACAACCCAGACCGCCAGCUAAGGUCCCAAAGUCAUGGUUAAGUGGGAAACGAUGUGGGAAGGCACAGACAGCCAGGAUGUUGGCUUAGAAGCAGCCAUCAUUUAAAGAAAGCGUAAUAGCUCACUGGUCGAGUCGGCCUGCGCGGAAGAUGUAACGGGGCUAAACCAUGCACCGAAGCUGCGGCAGCGACACUAUGUGUUGUUGGGUAGGGGAGCGUUCUGUAAGCCUGCGAAGGUGUGCUGUGAGGCAUGCUGGAGGUAUCAGAAGUGCGAAUGCUGACAUAAGUAACGAUAAAGCGGGUGAAAAGCCCGCUCGCCGGAAGACCAAGGGUUCCUGUCCAACGUUAAUCGGGGCAGGGUGAGUCGACCCCUAAGGCGAGGCCGAAAGGCGUAGUCGAUGGGAAACAGGUUAAUAUUCCUGUACUUGGUGUUACUGCGAAGGGGGGACGGAGAAGGCUAUGUUAGCCGGGCGACGGUUGUCCCGGUUUAAGCAUGUAGGCUGGUUAUCCAGGCAAAUCCGGAUAAUCAAGGCUGAGGUGUGAUGACGAGGCACUACGGUGCUGAAGUAACAAAUGCCCUGCUUCCAGGAAAAGCCUCUAAGCAUCAGGUAACAUCAAAUCGUACCCCAAACCGACACAGGUGGUCAGGUAGAGAAUACCAAGGCGCUUGAGAGAACUCGGGUGAAGGAACUAGGCAAAAUGGUGCCGUAACUUCGGGAGAAGGCACGCUGGUGUGUAGGUGAAGUCCCUGCGGAUGGAGCUGAGACCAGUCGAAGAUACCAGCUGGCUGCAACUGUUUAUUAAAAACACAGCACUGUGCAAACACGAAAGUGGACGUAUACGGUGUGACGCCUGCCCGGUGCCGGAAGGUUAAUUGAUGGGGUUAUCCGUAAGGAGAAGCUCUUGAUCGAAGCCCCGGUAAACGGCGGCCGUAACUAUAACGGUCCUAAGGUAGCGAAAUUCCUUGUCGGGUAAGUUCCGACCUGCACGAAUGGCGUAAUGAUGGCCAGGCUGUCUCCACCCGAGACUCAGUGAAAUUGAACUCGCUGUGAAGAUGCAGUGUACCCGCGGCAAGACGGAAAGACCCCGUGAACCUUUACUAUAGCUUGACACUGAACAUUGAGCCUUGAUGUGUAGGAUAGGUGGGAGGCUUUGAAGCGUGGACGCCAGUCUGCGUGGAGCCAACCUUGAAAUACCACCCUUUAAUGUUUGAUGUUCUAACGUUGGCCCCUGACCGGGGUUGCGGACAGUGUCUGGUGGGUAGUUUGACUGGGGCGGUCUCCUCCCAAAGCGUAACGGAGGAGCACGAAGGUUAGCUAAUCCUGGUCGGACAUCAGGAGGUUAGUGCAAUGGCAUAAGCUAGCUUGACUGCGAGCGUGACGGCGCGAGCAGGUGCGAAAGCAGGUCAUAGUGAUCCGGUGGUUCUGAAUGGAAGGGCCAUCGCUCAACGGAUAAAAGGUACUCCGGGGAUAACAGGCUGAUACCGCCCAAGAGUUCAUAUCGACGGCGGUGUUUGGCACCUCGAUGUCGGCUCAUCACAUCCUGGGGCUGAAGUAGGUCCCAAGGGUAUGGCUGUUCGCCAUUUAAAGUGGUACGCGAGCUGGGUUUAGAACGUCGUGAGACAGUUCGGUCCCUAUCUGCCGUGGGCGCUGGAGAAUUGAGGGGGGCUGCUCCUAGUACGAGAGGACCGGAGUGGACGCAUCACUGGUGUUCGGGUUGUCAUGCCAAUGGCACUGCCCGGUAGCUAAAUGCGGAAGAGAUAAGUGCUGAAAGCAUCUAAGCACGAAACUUGCCCCGAGAUGAGUUCUCCCUGAGACUUUAAGUCUCCUGAAGGAACGUUGAAGACGACGACGUUGAUAGGCCGGGUGUGUAAGCGCAGCGAUGCGUUGAGCUAACCGGUACUAAUGAACCGUGAGGCUUAACCUU
RNAcentral lists this ribosomal RNA (2756 nucleotides) under Klebsiella pneumoniae. RNAcentral's name for it is "bacterial LSU rRNA". It matches the Rfam family "Bacterial large subunit ribosomal RNA". Lineage: Bacteria; Pseudomonadati; Pseudomonadota; Gammaproteobacteria; Enterobacterales; Enterobacteriaceae. The record is from RNAcentral.